UGGGGAAUAUUGCACAAUGGGCGCAAGCCUGAUGCAGCCAUGCCGCGUGUGUGAAGAAGGCCUUCGGGUUGUAAAGCACUUUCAGCGAGGAGGAAGGUGGUGAACUUAAUACGUUCAUCAAUUGACGUUACUCGCAGAAGAAGCACCGGCUAACUCCGUGCCAGCAGCCGCGGUAAUACGGAGGGUGCAAGCGUUAAUCGGAAUUACUGGGCGUAAAGCGCACGCAGGCGGUUUGUUAAGUCAGAUGUGAAAUCCCCGGGCUCAACCUGGGAACUGCAUUUGAAACUGGCAAGCUAGAGUCUCGUAGAGGGGGGUAGAAUUCCAGGUGUAGCGGUGAAAUGCGUAGAGAUCUGGAGGAAUACCGGUGGCGAAGGCGGCCCCCCUGGACGAAGACUGACGCUCAGGCUGCGAAAGCGUGGGGCAGCAAACAGGAUUAGAUACCCUGGUAGUCCACGCUGUAAACGAUGUCGAUUUGGAGGUUGUGCCCUUGAGGCGUGGCUUCCGGAGCUAACGCGUUAAAUCGACCGCC
RNAcentral lists this ribosomal RNA (529 nucleotides) under uncultured bacterium. RNAcentral describes it as "partial 16S ribosomal RNA". It matches the Rfam family "Bacterial small subunit ribosomal RNA", at positions 355 to 873 of the family's 1533-position model. The record is from RNAcentral.